RNAcentral lists this ribosomal RNA (554 nucleotides) under uncultured Methanosarcina sp. Its description in RNAcentral is "bacterial SSU rRNA". It matches the Rfam family "Archaeal small subunit ribosomal RNA", at positions 325 to 879 of the family's 1478-position model. The record is from RNAcentral. Lineage: Archaea; Methanobacteriati; Methanobacteriota; Methanomicrobia; Methanosarcinales; Methanosarcinaceae.
ACGGGGUGCAGCAGGCGCGAAAACUUUACAAUGCGGGAAAUCGUGAUAAGGGAACACCGAGUGCCAGCAUCAUAUGCUGGCUGUCCAGAUGUGUAAACUACAUCUGUUAGUAAGGGCCGGGCAAGACCGGUGCCAGCCGCCGCGGUAACACCGGCGGCCCGAGUGGUGACCGUUAUUAUUGGGUCUAAAGGGUCCGUAGCCGGUUUGGUCAGUCCUCCGGGAAAUCUGAUAGCUUAACUAUUAGACUUUCGGGGGAUACUGCCAGGCUUGGAACCGGGAGAGGUAAGAGGUACUACAGGGGUAGGAGUGAAAUCUUGUAAUCCCUGUGAGACCACCUGUGGCGAAGGCGUCUUACCAGAACGGGUUCGACGGUGAGGGACGAAAGCUGGGGGCACGAACCGGAUUAGAUACCCGGGUAGUCCCAGCCGUAAACUAUGCUCGCUAGGUGUCAGGCAUGGCGCGACCGUGUCUGGUGCCGCAGGGAAGCCGUGAAGCGAGCCACCUGGGAAGUACGGCCGCAAGGCUGAAACUUAAAGGAAUUGGCGGGGGAGCAC